AACUCCCUGUUCCUCCUACUCCUGUUCCUCUUCCUCAUACCCAUACUCAAACUCCUCCGAUUUCUUACUCAGUUCUUCUUCUUCUUAUUCAUUAUCAUCAUCGUUGGUCAACUGUUCGAUUUAUAAUCGUCCUUUCUCUCUUUCUACAUCUACCAACAUAGGAAGCUAAUUUUGGGUGAUUUCAAGAUGAAAUAGAUGAAGAUGAAAUGGUUAUGUUGAGUAACAGAAAGUCAGGGAAACGAGUAGUGGAAAUGGGUUUAAUGGUAAGCCGCUGUAGUUCAUGUUGGCAGUGAUACGGAGAUAGAGAAGGUAUUGGUUGUUGUUUUUGAGUUCGAGAGAGGUUGAGCUCCAUUGAGUUGCAUCUGUGAUGUUGUUGGUAAUGGAACUGUUUGUGAUGCUGCUAUGGAUCUGAGGCAAUGUGGUGGUUGAGAUGAUGAGUGGUUAUUAUGAAGUUAUGGAUUUGAACUAGAGAGUGUUGUCAAGAAGAUUGGGUACAGGUUCAAAUCAUAUUUGGUGUAUGCUACAGGUUGUGGUGUGGAUUAGAGGUUGUUAUGGAUAUGAUGAUGUGGGUCACGCUGGUUAGUACAUGAAAGAUAGGAUUCUGGUGAAGAUGGAUUUGGUGAUGUUGGUUUGAGAGAUUGAAUGAGUUUUGAAGAUGUAGCUUUGUGCAACUGUGACUAUUGGGAGUUGAUUGAGCCGAGAGUUUUCUACCAGUGAUAGCGAAUGGAUGUGUAUGCUUAUGUUUAAUUUGCAGGGAAAUGGAAAGCUAUAGAAGAGUACCGAUUGAUGCACAGCAACACCACCUGGUUGUGCAUGCAAAAUGUUCGACGCAAUGCAUGAUACACUAGUCUCGAGUAUGAUGGGUUUAUUUAAUUUUCUAAAAAAUAUUAUGCAAGCCUCGGGUAUCAUCAGCUUUGCUCCGUAAACAUAAUGGUGCAUUGGGCACCUUAUGUAGUUUUAAUUGAUGAUUUUUGUUGGAAAUGCAGGAUGGAGGGAUGUAUGUGAUAUGUAUGUUGUUGUUGCUGCUAAUGGAUACUUGGAGUAACAAGCUUUUCUUAUCUAAUUUGGAUCAUGGUGUUUCAAAUGAGGGUGUCAAAGUAAUUUUAUUGAUUUUCGGAGUAAUGUUUUUAUGAUGGUUUUCAUUUUAUAAAUGCCAAAAGUUUGUAAACUUUGUUGCUCUAAAAAUUAAUGCCAAAAGUAAUUAUUUAUUGAA
Papaver somniferum (opium poppy) is the source of this 1213-nucleotide long non-coding RNA. RefSeq lists it as uncharacterized. Lineage: Eukaryota; Viridiplantae; Streptophyta; Magnoliopsida; Ranunculales; Papaveraceae. The transcript is spliced from 2 exons. The record is from RefSeq and is a predicted model, not a curated record.